Molecule: long non-coding RNA, 399 nt
Organism: Sinocyclocheilus anshuiensis
Lineage: Eukaryota; Metazoa; Chordata; Actinopteri; Cypriniformes; Cyprinidae
Exons: 3
Source: RefSeq, a predicted model, not a curated record
GAUGACUUCAAAGCUAACACACAUGGACUAAAAGUCUCCUUUUUCUCCACUCCGUUCCUUUUUUAAAUUAAUCAUCCAUCUGAGCCUGAGAAGAGAUCUCGUCGUCGUGUCAUCUCCGGCGGCACUGCUUCAAACACGUCUCGUGGUCAUGAGAUCGCAGGCUGAUUGUGUCGGUUGGGCGUGUGAGCAGAUGCACGUGCGUCAGGACCCCGUGCUGUCCUACAGGAUGCCCAAGUGACUGCGUGGGAAUGUGGGCCGUUUGUUCCACUCUCAUCCUUUCUGCUUUUAUAUUCGGAAGCGUGAAUGCAUUGAACGCUUUGCCCAUCAGGCCAUGCAUUGGAGAGAAGUCAUCAUGUGUGUAAAUAUCAGAGAACUGUGAUACUUAAAAGCACAUGAAGA